UACGUAGGGGGCAAGCGUUGUCCGGAAUCAUUGGGCGUAAAGCGCGUGUAGGCGGCCCGGAAAGUCUGGUGUGAAAACUGGAGGCUCAACCUCCAGCUGUCAUCGGAAACUAACGGGCUUGAAUACGGAAGAGGCGAGUGGAAUUCCUGGUGUAGCGGUGGAAUGCGCAGAUAUCAGGAGGAACACCUAUUGCGAAGGCAGCUCGCUGGUACGAUAUUGACGCUGAGACGCGAAAGCGUGGGGAGCGAACAGG
This 253-nucleotide ribosomal RNA is filed under the name uncultured bacterium. RNAcentral's name for it is "partial 16S ribosomal RNA". It matches the Rfam family "Bacterial small subunit ribosomal RNA", at positions 524 to 776 of the family's 1533-position model. The record is from RNAcentral.